CUGUCCGACGUCGACUGUUACUGUCAUGGAGGAUUCGCCCAUAACAUUUCUGCAGUAUUGGCUUCAGGAAUA
Non-coding RNA from Pangasianodon gigas (Mekong giant catfish), 72 nucleotides. The record is from the annotation of a GenBank genome assembly. NCBI's taxonomy places the organism in Eukaryota, Metazoa, Chordata, Actinopteri, Siluriformes, Pangasiidae.